Cajanus cajan (pigeon pea) is the source of this 1092-nucleotide long non-coding RNA. RefSeq lists it as uncharacterized. Lineage: Eukaryota; Viridiplantae; Streptophyta; Magnoliopsida; Fabales; Fabaceae. The record is from RefSeq and is a predicted model, not a curated record.
UUUUCUAUUGAUUGAGUCCCCAUAAAAGAUUUUGUGUGUAAUGAAGAAUCGGUGAAACAAAGAAUCUCUUCUUUUCAUCCAAAUGCAACAUAUCACAUGGAUAGUGCCCUCUUUAGUCCUUAUCUCUAUUGCUUCUUCAAUUUCAUUUAUCAAAUUUGUAUUUUAUUUGAAUUGUGUCAAAACAACAUUGUAUUUAUGAAGGUUUAAUUAAUUUUUUUUAAUGAGGUUACUACUGAAUUCUCUAUAAAAGAAUGAUUUUAAUAUUGUAGGUGAUGUAUAAUUGAUGUGUAUUUAUGUGUUAUUAUUUAAAAUUCAUGUCAGUUUUAAGUUUUUAUAAUUGUUCACGUUUUUUUUUUGUUUUUUUCGUAUCUUUCUCAUUUCACUCCAUUUCAAUAAUCUAUACUUCAAGAAUUUACCAGAUUAAAAAGGUCUUUUCCAUUCCGACCAAGAGCUGUUCAAUAGCGAUUCUACGGACAAACUAGUGAAGAAAUAUGCUACUAAUACAGAUGCAUUCUUUAAAGUCUUUGCAAAUGGCAUGGUCAAAAUAAGCAACAUCUGUGGUGGUGUGGAGCGGAUUCGGGAUUUUGCUAGCUGAGUAGGAGUUUCCCUUCUUCUCCUUCGUCUUUCAAGCCGUUCUUCGUUUACCUCUCGUUGUUAUUCUUCCCGAAGCUCGAUUUCCUUGAUUUGAGUGUGUAGGCCGAAAGGUUGAAGUGUGUAGGCCGAAAGGCUGAAGUGUGUAGGCCAAAAGGCUGAGGUGCGGUAGGAGAUCUCCGAGGUGAUAUGCGUGACGACGCAUUGUGUGUGCAUUGAUAAACCGUGUGAGCAGGGCUAGAUUUGUGAUAGGAGCAAGCUUAUAGCUGGCAGAGGACGGGGAGUCUUAACUGGCUGAUGUUUUGGACGUUAAGCCACUAUCUGGCUAUUUUGGAUUGUAUUUUAUUUUACGCCCUAACUCUAGUCGGAUUGGAACAUUUGUAUAUAUUUAUAUUCUAGAUCCUAUAUUUAUAUACUCGUUCUAUUUUGUCUAGUGUUUCCGGUGUGCUGCGGUUAUGAGUGUGGUGACUUGCCGGGUCGUUACAACAUCAAGACUCUCAC